RNAcentral lists this ribosomal RNA (253 nucleotides) under uncultured bacterium. Its description in RNAcentral is "partial 16S ribosomal RNA". It matches the Rfam family "Bacterial small subunit ribosomal RNA", at positions 524 to 776 of the family's 1533-position model. The record is from RNAcentral.
UACGUAGGGGGCUAGCGUUGUCCGGAAUCAUUGGGCGUAAAGAGCGCGUAGGCGGCCAGAUAAGUCCGGUGUGAAAGUCAAAGGCUCAACCUUUGAAUGCCGCUGGAAACUGUCUGGCUAGAGUCCGGGAGGGGCGAGUGGAAUUCCUGGUGUAGCGGUGAAAUGCGCAGAUAUCGGGAGGAACACCGGUGGCGAAGGCGGUUCUCUGGGCCUGUACUGACGCUGAGGAGCGAAAGCGUGGGGAGCGAACAGG